Molecule: long non-coding RNA, 551 nt
Filed under: Homo sapiens (human)
Lineage: Eukaryota; Metazoa; Chordata; Mammalia; Primates; Hominidae
Description: HSALNT0233169
Source: RNAcentral
CAGCAUCACCCUCAGAAGCUGUCCUUAGCACCUAGACCAGUAGGACCCCUGGCUAUACCUUCCCAGAGUCCCCUCUGAUCCCCUCUCAUGACACUGAUUAUAUGCGACGGUGACAAAUUAUCUGUCCCUGCUGCUAUAAAUCACGGGGUCUGUAAGAGCAGACACCACGUCUCUCUCAUUUGUCACUCUGACCCUAGCGCCCAGAGCUCUGAGUGAACUGAAGGACUUCAUCACCCAGUACAUGUGGUAAUAUUUCCUGGUUAUCUUUUAGGAAUAAAAGUCUAAAAAACGUUGGACACCGUGGCUCAUGCCUGUAAUACCAGCACUAUGGGAGGCCAAGGCAGGUGGAUCACUUAUAACCCAGGAAUUUGAGACCAGCCUGGGCAAAAGAGCAAGACCCUGUCUCUACAAAAAUUUAAAAAUUAGCCAGGCACAGUGGCUCAAGCCUAUAGCCCCAGCUACUUGGAGGCCGAGGCAGGCAGAUCACUUGAGCUCAGGAGCUGACCAGCCUGGGCAACUUGGCAAAACCCCAUCUUACAAGAAAUACAGAA